CAAACUUCAGAUUGGUCUUUAUAUCACUAAUAUUUUUAAUACCCAACCUGUGAUAGACCGAUAAUGGCAUCAGAUUCACACUGGCUCCCGAAUCUAUUAGUACCUUUUUGAAGGUUCUUUCUUUGAUUGUGCACGGUACUGUGACGGUUCCUGGAUCCUUUUGUUUGUUAGGAAUGUUCUGCUCCAGGGAGUUUGCAUUAUAUUGUUCCUUACCAGAUACCUGUUCUUCAGUGGUUGGUUUCUUUUCAGCCAUUACCUCUUCCACGAAUUUCUUGUACAUGGGCAUCCUUUCAAGUGCUUCAAACAAAGUCAUAUGACCCUCAAUCCUUUUAAACAUUUUUAUGAAUUUCUCGAAGUCUGACUCACUAGGUUCCUUCUUUGUCACUCUCUGAGGGUAGGGCAACUUAAUCACCGGUUUAGUUCCUUUUGUAGUUUCUUCUUUAGUCGGCUCGCUCG
This 456-nucleotide long non-coding RNA is filed under the name Lathyrus oleraceus (garden pea). RNAcentral's name for it is "Pisum sativum (pea) long non-coding RNA (PSAT_LNC034209)". Lineage: Eukaryota; Viridiplantae; Streptophyta; Magnoliopsida; Fabales; Fabaceae. The record is from RNAcentral.